Molecule: non-coding RNA, 1144 nt
Organism: Theobroma cacao (cacao)
Lineage: Eukaryota; Viridiplantae; Streptophyta; Magnoliopsida; Malvales; Malvaceae
Source: RefSeq, a predicted model, not a curated record
UAGCAGUCAAAAAGGGAAAUUUUCCUGGUUUAAAAUAGGUAAGAUCUUGCAUUUUGGGGAGAGGACUAAUAAUUCUGUGGAGCUACUUUAGUAAUUUCAUCUACCCAAGAAAGAUGAUAUUGCGAGCCGCCUAACUUCCCAUCACAAGAAAUGCGUGAACAUAAGAUAACGGGCGUAACAGUAGUCGAACAGCUACGGCCAAUCUUUUUCUUCCUCUAUAAAUCAAAAAACAAUCAAAACCCAGCUUUGGGUUUUACCCAUACGCUUCACAGAGAAAAGCCGGUUACCAUUCCCCGUCUCCCGACCUACUACAAGAGAAAAAAAGAAAAAGAAAAGAAAAGACAAAGUCUAUUAAUUUUGCUACUUUCAUGUUCUGAUGUUCUUAGGCAGGUGGAGAGCUCCAAAGGGAUCGCAUUGAUCUAAUAUUGUUCCUGGAUUACCGAAUGAAUUCAUGGAGGCAACUGGUAUAAGCUUUUGUUGAUUCAGUUCACUCAUUGGAUCAUGCAAUCCCUUCGGAAUUUUCCAUCAGUAGCUCUAAAUUUAUGUCAAGCCUCCUGCUCCUGUUUUUCCAUGGCAGAAAUAUAUCAGCUCAUGGCCGGCCAGACAUAUCCUGCAGAACCACAGGUUAGAUUCGAGAUUUUUAUCCGACAACAUUUGGCAAAAAACCAAUAUGAAUUCCCCCAUUGACAAACCUGUCAAUCAUCAUUGUUGGAUUUUUCCGUUUCCAUUUUCCAUAUGAUAUUUGUCUAAUUGUUUUGUUACCGGGUUUGUCUUUAUUAAUAUACUAAAUGGACAUGGCAACUGUGGAACACGAGUGAAUGAUAAUUCAUCUAUCAUUACAGUGAUUAAUUAGUCUAUACAAUAUCAAUAUUUUGUCUUCAACAAUGAUGUAUAAAAUGUUGCCAUCAUCUAGUAUUUUAUGCCACUACAGAUUAAAUAAAUCUCUUUCAAUUACGUACAACUUUGUUUAUACAUUUAUUAUACGAGUUCAUGUAUAUUUUCUUUACAAAAAUUAAUAAAACUCUAAGUUGAUAUCAUUGCUUGGGGGGCUAAGUUCAAUGACAUAGCUCAUUCAGUAAUUAGUACUUUGAUAUUCUAAUUAAUUGACCUUUCAAUUGUUCUGAUCAAUUGCUUCUUGUUGAUA